RNAcentral lists this ribosomal RNA (1522 nucleotides) under metagenome. RNAcentral's name for it is "bacterial SSU rRNA". It matches the Rfam family "Bacterial small subunit ribosomal RNA". The record is from RNAcentral.
AGAGUUUGAUCAUGGCUCAGAUUGAACGCUGGCGGCAGGCCUAACACAUGCAAGUCGAACGGUAACAGGAAGCAGCUUGCUGCUUCGCUGACGAGUGGCGGACGGGUGAGUAAUGUCUGGGAAGCUGCCUGAUGGAGGGGGAUAACUACUGGAAACGGUAGCUAAUACCGCAUAAUGUCGCAAGACCAAAGAGGGGGACCUUCGGGCCUCUUGCCAUCGGAUGUGCCCAGAUGGGAUUAGCUUGUUGGUGGGGUAACGGCUCACCAAGGCGACGAUCCCUAGCUGGUCUGAGAGGAUGACCAGCCACACUGGAACUGAGACACGGUCCAGACUCCUACGGGAGGCAGCAGUGGGGAAUAUUGCACAAUGGGCGCAAGCCUGAUGCAGCCAUGCCGCGUGUAUGAAGAAGGCCUUCGGGUUGUAAAGUACUUUCAGCGGGGAGGAAGGGAGUAAAGUUAAUACCUUUGCUCAUUGACGUUACCCGCAGAAGAAGCACCGGCUAACUCCGUGCCAGCAGCCGCGGUAAUACGGAGGGUGCAAGCGUUAAUCGGAAUUACUGGGCGUAAAGCGCACGCAGGCGGUUUGUUAAGUCAGAUGUGAAAUCCCCGGGCUCAACCUGGGAACUGCAUCUGAUACUGGCAAGCUUGAGUCUCGUAGAGGGGGGUAGAAUUCCAGGUGUAGCGGUGAAAUGCGUAGAGAUCUGGAGGAAUACCGGUGGCGAAGGCGGCCCCCUGGACGAAGACUGACGCUCAGGUGCGAAAGCGUGGGGAGCAAACAGGAUUAGAUACCCUGGUAGUCCACGCCGUAAACGAUGUCGACUUGGAGGUUGUGCCCUUGAGGCGUGGCUUCCGGAGCUAACGCGUUAAGUCGACCGCCUGGGGAGUACGGCCGCAAGGUUAAAACUCAAAUGAAUUGACGGGGGCCCGCACAAGCGGUGGAGCAUGUGGUUUAAUUCGAUGCAACGCGAAGAACCUUACCUGGUCUUGACAUCCACGGAAGUUUUCAGAGAUGAGAAUGUGCCUUCGGGAACCGUGAGACAGGUGCUGCAUGGCUGUCGUCAGCUCGUGUUGUGAAAUGUUGGGUUAAGUCCCGCAACGAGCGCAACCCUUAUCCUUUGUUGCCAGCGGUCCGGCCGGGAACUCAAAGGAGACUGCCAGUGAUAAACUGGAGGAAGGUGGGGAUGACGUCAAGUCAUCAUGGCCCUUACGACCAGGGCUACACACGUGCUACAAUGGCGCAUACAAAGAGAAGCGACCUCGCGAGAGCAAGCGGACCUCAUAAAGUGCGUCGUAGUCCGGAUUGGAGUCUGCAACUCGACUCCAUGAAGUCGGAAUCGCUAGUAAUCGUGGAUCAGAAUGCCACGGUGAAUACGUUCCCGGGCCUUGUACACACCGCCCGUCACACCAUGGGAGUGGGUUGCAAAAGAAGUAGGUAGCUUAACCUUCGGGAGGGCGCUUACCACUUUGUGAUUCAUGACUGGGGUGAAGUCGCAACAAGGUAACCGUAGGGGAACCUGCGGUUG